Molecule: transfer RNA, 72 nt
Filed under: Ferocactus latispinus
Lineage: Eukaryota; Viridiplantae; Streptophyta; Magnoliopsida; Caryophyllales; Cactaceae
Also listed under: 2 other names
Description: tRNA-Gln
Rfam family: tRNA
About the family: Transfer RNA (tRNA) molecules are approximately 80 nucleotides in length.
Source: RNAcentral
UGGGGCGUGGCCAAGUGGUAAGGCGUCGGGUUUUGGUCCCGCUAUUCGGAGGUUCGAAUCCUUCCGUCCCAG